Molecule: ribosomal RNA, 155 nt
Filed under: Origanum majorana
Lineage: Eukaryota; Viridiplantae; Streptophyta; Magnoliopsida; Lamiales; Lamiaceae
Description: 5.8S ribosomal RNA
Rfam family: 5.8S ribosomal RNA
About the family: 5.8S ribosomal RNA (5.8S rRNA) is a component of the large subunit of the eukaryotic ribosome. It is transcribed by RNA polymerase I as part of the 45S precursor that also contains 18S and 28S rRNA. Functionally, it is thought that 5.8S rRNA may be involved in ribosome translocation.
Source: RNAcentral
CUCGGCAACGGAUACCUCGGCUCUCGCAUCGAUGAAGAACGUAGCGAAAUGCGAUACUUGGUGUGAAUUGCAGAAUCCCGUGAACCAUCGAGUCUUUGAACGCAAGUUGCGCCCGAAGCCAUUAGGCUGAGGGCACGUCUGCCUGGGCGUCACGC